AGUGGAGUUGCUGAGCCAUAUGGUAAUUCUGUUUAACUUUUUGAAGAACUGUCAAACUGUUUUCCCUAGUAGUUACACCAUUUUACAGUCUCUCAGCAAU
This 100-nucleotide microRNA precursor is filed under the name Marmota monax (woodchuck). Lineage: Eukaryota; Metazoa; Chordata; Mammalia; Rodentia; Sciuridae. The record is from RNAcentral.